CAACCUACGGGACGCAGCAGUGGGGAAUAUUGCACAAUGGGGGGAACCCUGAUGCAGCGACGCCGCGUGGGUGAAGGAGUAUUGCGGUAUGUAAAGCUCUAUCAGCAGGGAAGAACAAUGACGGUACCUGACUAAGAAGCACCGGCUAAAUACGUGCCAGCAGCCGCGGUAAUACGUAUGGUGCAAGCGUUAUCCGGAUUUACUGGGUGUAAAGGGAGCGCAGGCGGCGCGUUAAGCCUGGUGUGAAGGCCCGCGGCC
This 258-nucleotide ribosomal RNA is filed under the name uncultured bacterium. Its description in RNAcentral is "partial 16S ribosomal RNA". It matches the Rfam family "Bacterial small subunit ribosomal RNA", at positions 333 to 609 of the family's 1533-position model. The record is from RNAcentral.